Molecule: ribosomal RNA, 495 nt
Filed under: uncultured bacterium
Lineage: Bacteria
Description: partial 16S ribosomal RNA
Rfam family: Bacterial small subunit ribosomal RNA
Source: RNAcentral
GACGAACGCUGGCGGCGUGCCUAAUACAUGCAAGUCGAACGCUGAAGGAGGAGCUUGCUUCUCUGGAUGAGUUGCGAACGGGUGAGUAACGCGUAGGUAACCUGCCUGGUAGCGGGGGAUAACUGUUGGAAACGAUAGCUAAUACCGCAUAAGAGUAGAUGUUGCAUGACAUUUGCUUAAAAGGUGCAAUUGCAUCACUACCAGAUGGACCUGCGUUGUAUUAGCUAGUUGGUGGGGUAACGGCUCACCAAGGCGACGAUACAUAGCCGACCUGAGAGGGUGAUCGGCCACACUGGGACUUGGACACGGCCCAGACUCCUACGGGAGGCAGCAGUAGGGAAUCUUCGGCAAUGGACGGAAGUCUGACCGAGCAACGCCGCGUGAGGGAAGAAGGUUUUCGGAUCGUAAAGCUCUGUUGUAAGAGAAGAACGAGGGUGAGAGUGGAAAGUUCACACUGUGACGGUAUCUUACCAGAAAGGGACGGCUAACUACGUG